Molecule: long non-coding RNA, 6834 nt
Organism: Triticum aestivum (bread wheat)
Lineage: Eukaryota; Viridiplantae; Streptophyta; Magnoliopsida; Poales; Poaceae
Exons: 7
Source: RefSeq, a predicted model, not a curated record
CACAAAACUACAGCCGUUCAUCCCAUAUGUUUUGCAGGCAGCAGCUAUCGAUGGGAGCAUCGUGCAAAAAUAGUGUGUGAAACUAUCGUGUGCACAACAAUUCUGUUGGUUGUAUGAUCUAGAGUAGUUUCUUAGGUGGUGAUGUGCUACACUAGAUAUUACCUAAUGUUCUCCUGUGUACUCAGCUUGGGACUAGGCAGUAUGUUAUAGUGAAUUAAUAUACAGGUCGCACACACCUUGUGUUGGAUGCUUGAAAAAGCAAUGCAAAAUAGUCUUUGUAUUGUGACUCGUGAGUCAACACUUUUGGAUCCCAAAAUAUUCAGUUGAAGCGUGAGUGAUCAUCUGCAAGUCAGUAGGAAAUUUUAAUUUGAUGUUAGCACAAGUAUGUAUGGUGUCAGAUGGUUGAAAAGGAACUGGAGAUGGUCUUUGUGUCCUCAACUUUUGGCCCUUUAGUCAACACCCCUAAGCAUUUUUCUUGAAGGGCACAAGAACCUUAUUUUGGCCUAGAAGAGAUUUGCCAGACUGCUUGAUGAUUCUGCCACCUAAUAAACAAGUAAAUGGAUUUUGUAUCCUGAAAAUAGAGGAAAAUAAUAAACACCAAGAAGAUCUGAAUGGUGUUAUCCAUGCUUGCUUCUAAGUAGUGUAUGUUCAUUAGCACCACAAUUCAUGGAUUUAAGGGCUUCCAUCUUUCAUGUGUGCGUAUUUAAUGUUCUAGGCAGUCACUUCACAUAGCUGGUCGGGCUCUAAGCUUGCUCUGCUCGUUGUCGGUUACUACUAAAUAUUGCAUUUUUAUCUACUUGGUGCUCUUCGAAGUAUGCUUAUUAUGUUUGUCGUUCUUUAUACAAGUAAGUUGAGGUAGAUAACAAAAGUUGAGAAAAAUUAUUAGAUAUUUCUACUGUUUAUUGGUACGGCCACUGAUUAUAUUUAUUGUUGCUAUCCAAUGCAGAUUAUCAUGAUUGCAUGAGAGAUUAAUACCAUUGUACCAUGUGUGCUAGCUAGAAACCGUAGGGUGAUGCUUGGUGUAUUCUUGUGUAGUUGUGUUUUCAUCGGAAAAACAAGGAUGUGGGUCAGACUCCAGUUCAUCACGACUCCAUUAACGGAGUUUGACCACUCUGAAAAAGGUGAUGCUCUGUAUGGUUAAUCAUCUAGGCAAAAUAAUACUUGAUCACAAGGUAAUAAAGUUAGUACUUAUAUGUAAAGUUAUUUAGCUUCAUCAAAUAGAUGUCAGUUUUUUGCUGUUAGAAAGUUAUGUAGCUGCUCUGCAAUGACCUUUUGAACUCAAUAUGGCGUCGGUCAAAUAUACAAGGACACGAAACAAAUCCGAAAGAAAGUAGCAAGCUGUUAAAUUCAGAUAUUUCUCUGAUUUGCUGCUUUCAUUUUGUGGAACCUAGCUUGUGAAAACUUGAUGUGUUCUUACUUGAGCGCCUCUUGUGGUUUUAGCAAUGGAGUUUGGCUCUUGCUCUCGAAAAGAUGGUGAACAAGAAGCUGCCCAACCUGCACACUAGGGAAGAAGUUGUGGUGGCGGUGAAUUAUGCAGCCAUUGUCUCUCACGACCGCCGGCCCCUGCUCGCGACGUCUCUACUGGAGCCGCCUCUGCCUACUCUGGUGUGUUGCAGCUCCUUACUCUAGCCACAUGCUGCUUGCUCUCCCGCUAGCCUCUGCCUCCUGUGGUCUCGAAGUUGAUGACACCCUGAUGCAAAGCUCCCACAAUCAUCCGCUCCGUCUCAGCAAAAAAACAUGUCCAGCUGCAGAAAAGGAGUUUGUAUCCAGCUUGACCUCCAUAGCAGGAAGAUUUUAGUAAUCGUUCUAUCAAUGUUCUAUUAAUGGACAGAGGAGGGGAGCAAUGGAAAUAACACCCCGUCGCGGUCCUGGUGCUUCUCUCCGUGGGUUCGCUUGCUCACCUCGGCAUUUGCGGCUUCUACAGACGGUCUUGACAGGAAGGACUGAUCAGCCACUGUGCUGGAGUAGACUGUGUGACAUGUUUUUUCCUCUCUCUCCUACCCGUGAUUGGUUUCUUUGGUGAAGAAAGCAUCACUGUCUUUCAAUACAUGAUGGAUGCUCAACCUGUAUGUCUACAUGGUACAAGAAUGAAGAUUAACUGUUCAAUCUAUUGAUUCAGAGUGAUACAAGGGUGAAACAGAAUAAGCUCAUUUUUGUGGGUCAUUGUCGGAAAAGAAUAUUUAGCAUGAAUGUAGGUGCUUUCAUAUGAAGCUGGACAUGUUUACAAUGAUCGACCGGAUAUCGUUACACGUGUCUUGAAUAUGAAGUUUAAUGAUCUAUGAGAAGAUGUUAAAAGUGGACAUUUGUUUGGUACAAUUCAAGCAUAUUUAUACAUGGUGGAAUUACAAAAUAGAGGCUUGCAACGUAGGCUGCCAAAGUAGAGAGAGGAUUGAGGGAGGAACCCUACCAAAUGGAUAGGACGUGCGGGAGUUGUGGGCGCCAUAUUUGGUUGGCAUGGAAUUUGAUUUGAACCAAUGGCAGGCGUACUAUAUGCUAUUUUUUUUUAUAUAAAUGGAGGUAUAAUAUUAUUUGGCCUCCCAUUUGGUAUGUCCAUAGCGUUGCUCCAUACUUAGCUAGGCUAUUCUACAUAUCGUCUGUCCUGGGCCGCCGCCGGGCCUCUGCCCCGUUCGUCCGUGAUACAUUCCACCAAUAAAAAAACAAUGCCCUCCCAACCUGUCUGUGCGACCCGGCCCAACAAAUCAAACCCACCAGCCCGUUUAGGAGAUGAGACAAAAAUAGUUGACCGUGACAUGAAUCAAACUCGCAACCUCCCCUAUUCUUUGGUGUUGAUCGUACUACCCCGCAAAAAAAGGUGUUAAUCGUUUUAAACUAAAGUUAAAUUUGGAGAUUUUUUUUGUCCUUUACGGACUGGUAUUGAACUACUAUACGAUGUAAAAUAUGGAUAGCACAAACACAAGGCGCACGCAUUUGAUUGUGCGGAUGUGCCCGGGAUCUCAAACACGACCGUUGGCUGGUCUAUGUAUGUAGACGAUUCUUUAUUGGCUCCAAGCUUAGGUGGAACGUUUGUUGUGUAGUGGACAUCGUGACCGACAGUGAGUACAAAGAAAAUAAGUGGUAACAAGGAUGGGGCGCCAAGUGUGAUAAUUUGUUUCUCCCGUUGCAACGCACGGGCACUUUUGCUAGUAAUAAUAAAGUAUGGAUUGAGUUGGUUCACCAUCGCGUAACUUUUACAAAUAAAUCUCUGUGUUUUCCCAUAAUUAAGCCGCAGUACUAUUUUAAGUGGUCACAGAGAAAAACGUUUCGUUCUUUGGUUGGGCCUGACGUUUUCAUAAGCAGCCCAAGACUCACCCGUCGUCCAGCUCAAAAAAAAGACUCACCCGUCUUUGGAAUUUCUGCCCCGAGAACGCGAGGGUUUCCUCCGUGGCCGUCGCCGUCGCGACCCCAUAUCCCGCCACUCCAUGACGCAAGUCCUCGCUCCGCAGUCGCCAAAUCCAGACGAGUCCGUCGCCCUUUGCGCCGCCACCCCGGUAGCCCCUCUCAUCGACGACUACCACGGGUGCGCAUCCCUCUCCCUCGAGACUUCAUCUCGACCUCCAGGCUCCAGCGCGAGGCCACCUCCUGCCGACCGCGACUCCCUCCAUCGCUGCCGACGCCGCCCUUUGCGCCGCCACCCCGACAGCCCCUCUUGCCGACGAUCACCACGGGCACGCCUCCCUCUCCCUAGACUCCAUCUCCCCAGCGGCCUUCCCUCCUUUGCCCUGAGUCCAGGACCACCAGUUUGGUCAAAUUCCCCGUAGCCGCCGGUCAUUAUCGGCCGCGCCGCCGCCCCUGGUCGACGCGAACGCCGCGGCGGACAGCGGGUUGCUGUGCUGAUGCACCGGGGUGUAGCACAGCUCGGAGGCCUGGCUGCUGUGGUGGUGUUGGUCGUGGUGGACGGGGAACCGGCGGCAGAGAAGCCCCGACCUCUGCAUACAGUGUCGACCUUAAUUACAGAUGUUUCUGUGUUUGUUUUGGAUGAAGUGGACUGCUCGCUAGAGAGAGGAUUCAGAUAUUAGGCCAUGCAGAUCUUUCGCAUGCUCUCACGUCCACAGUUCAUGAUGUUUUCAGCAAUAGUACAGUUAGAAAUUGUCAAACUCACUGUCUUACAACAUGACUGAUACAUGGAGUAUUUCUUGUGGGAAUCCAGGUAAACCAAACACAUCAAUUAGACAAGUGGUAAUUUGGGUGGAAUCUAAGCAUAAGAAGCGGAAGUUUUUUGAGAUAAUUAAGAGUAAGCAGUACUUCAAACCUCCUGUUGUUGUAUUUGUGAGUCCCAGAGUUGGUGAUCUCUUGUCUGAAGCAAUUACUGCUGCUACUGGGUUGGAGUAAUUUCCAUUCCGGGUGAGAAAAUAGUGAAAGGGAGAAGGGAAAGAUUGAGACAGUUUCUCAGAAUCAGGAUGCGCGAGAGGAUGGGAAUCGGAGAGACGCAACAGGGGGGCAUCAGCAGGAAAGCAGCAGGUGGGUGCAGCACCGGCCUUGGCCAAGGUGGCCCGUUGUUUCCAGAGCAUGCUUUGACUGCAAUUAUCUCAGCAAAAUUGCAUGGUAAUCUUCUGUACAGAUUGAUUAUUUGUUAUGGUCAUGUACGGCUAGGAGUUCUUUAACUUGCAAUUAUCUCAGCAAAAUCACAUGGUAAUCUUCUGUAAAUUACAAGAUGUGCUCCUGUAUAGAUUGAUUAUUUGCUUAAUCUUAAUUUUGUGAUGAAUCAUCGAAUAGUGCCGUAAGAUUCAAAGACUUUUUUUAGCCUUUUUUGAGCAAUUAAUCUGCACCUUUGUUCAUGGACGGGAGGUGCUUUUGAUCUUCUAAUUACUUCCUCCAUGUUAGGUGUUUGUGCUGCUGGUCAAAGGUAUGUAUAUGACCGGCUAAGAUUUGUUUUUCUUCAUACGCAUUGUUAGAGUAAUAUCUAUGCGCUUUAUUUUUUUUCCUUCUGAAUUUCUUUCAUGCAUCAGUGUAUAUGUUUCUUGUGGUCUUCCACAACUUUUAUUCUUGCUAUUUUUAGUUCUUGAUCUGGAUAAUUGAAGAAGUGGUUAAAAUUCCGUACAUGGAGUUUAUGUUGUCCUAAGAUUUUGUCAUGAUAUUCAUUUUUUAAUCCAAAAUUUGUUUAGUUGGAUUGUUAUGAACAUGUGAAGAACCCGUUGUUAACUUUUGACUUUAUUUACAUCUGUCAUUACUAAUUCUCAUCACUGAUGAUUGUUUGUAGAUAAGAUUUUCUUCUAAUCCAUAAGAAUUGAUGCUAAUAUGCACUGUUCUAUUAAACCUGAAUUUCAUUGCUGAAGCACAGUUAAAGAAAAGUCAUGGAUAAAGCUUAGUGAUUUCCAGUAAAGAGUUUCUACUAAUCCAUCAGCUAAUGCUAAUCUAACCAUUAAAUCCUAUGAAGAUUUUUAUUCUAUGAGUCAUGUAGCUUUUUGUUGUUGUUGAAGCUAGCUGUGGGAUGCCCUUUCUGUUUCAUGUGAUUCGAUGCAUAGAUAGACAGAUUCUAUGUUCUUAGAAGACAUGGUACUUGGACCUUCGUAAGAUGGCGCAAGGGGAGCUAUGGGGAUUGAUGCAUAUAGAAUUAUCUGCUAUUUUCCAAUAAUUUCGCCAUCAAAAGAUGUUCUAUUUGUUUCCAUACUAGCUGUUUUGGUUGUGCCCAUCAAUCAUGAUAGCCAAUUUUCUUUCCUGAAUGUUCAGGAGGAUUUCAGUGCUGCUAAAGAGAGAAAAGGAUCAAUGCUAUGAGAUUGUUGCUGAGAGGCAUGUACAUGAAUCGGCCACAAUAUGCUUUCUCCUUGCCUUUUCCUUAUUGACUAAAUCUGAGCACAUGGCUAUAUUCAGUUUUCUCAUGUAACCUGAGCAGCUGCUGGUUUAGAUUAGCAUUCCUUUCAAUUCUUGAUUAGCAGCGUGCUGCGACACACAUGGCUCAGCCUCCGUGUCAUUCUACCUGUUUUCAUGCUCUCUACGUCUUCCAAGUCAUCAUUUUUUUUAGUUCUGGAAGUAACAGGCAAAUGGUAAUAUAUACGUAUGGAAGUUGCAAAAAAUCAUUAUCUUGUCCAAGUAACGUGCAGAAUCAUUUCUCUUAUGGGAAUUAGCCUGUUGUAUUGACCUAACAAAGUCCACUUCAACCUACUCCCUCCGUCCGAAAAUAUUUGUCAUCAAAAUCGAUAAAAAGAGAUGUAUCUAGAACUAAAAUACAUCUAGAUACAUCCUUUUUUAUCUAGUUUGAUGACAAGUAUUUCCGGACGGAGGGAGUACCUAAUAAUUAUCCAGUGAAGAUGGAGAGCGCCUCAAAUAUGAGAAUCUACUCAUCCUUUGUUUUCUGUUCUGUUGCCUCAUGUAUUUACAGUAUGAAUAUGUUACACUGUGUUUCUUGAACUUGGUCGGUGUUAAGAUUUGGUAUUAGGAGGGUAACUCUUCCCACCCUGUAGUUUUUUAUUUCAUGGAGUGCAUGAUAAUUAAAGAAGAUACUUUAUUUUGAGUGUUCCUUUCCAGAUAAUAGACUGGCUAACCAGUUGUCUGGCACUGUCGUAAAUGCAGUAAUGUUAGAUUUCUUUCAUAGUGGUUCACUUGCAAGCUUUAUUUCACAAAUUGUGUAGCAUAUUUGUAUUUUCUUUACCCUGCUGCAAGUCAUAUGCAUCCGCCAACACAAUGAACCAAUUGAUAUUUUCAUGAUGGGAUAAUGCAUAUGCGCAAUUCGAUGUGGGCACAUGUCUGGCAUGUAUAUUUUUCUUUCUUUGCACAGUAUAACAUCUUUCUGAAUUUCGUAGACUUUUGUAUAAUUAGAUCAAAUGCAUUUCCACUCACACGCUUGUGAACAUGGGCCAUGGCUAUGUUUUGUAAUUUAACAUCAGAACACUUACUCCA